GCUCUUGUAGCUCAGUUGGUUAGAGCACCCGUUUAGUAAGCGGGAGGUCUUGAGUUCGACUUUAAUGAGAGCA
RNAcentral lists this transfer RNA (73 nucleotides) under Nicotiana sylvestris (wood tobacco). It matches the Rfam family "tRNA". Rfam says of the family: Transfer RNA (tRNA) molecules are approximately 80 nucleotides in length. RNAcentral also lists the same sequence under 1 other name. The record is from Rfam by way of RNAcentral. Lineage: Eukaryota; Viridiplantae; Streptophyta; Magnoliopsida; Solanales; Solanaceae.